GAUGAACGCUGGCGGCGUGCCUAAUACAUGCAAGUCGAGCGAAUGGAUUAAGAGCUUGCUCUUAUGAAGUUAGCGGCGGACGGGUGAGUAACACGUGGGUAACCUGCCCAUAAGACUGGGAUAACUCCGGGAAACCGGGGCUAAUACCGGAUAAUAUUUUGAACUGCAUGGUUCAAAAUUGAAAGGCGGCUUCGGCUGUCACUUAUGGAUGGACCCGCGUCGCAUUAGCUAGUUGGUGAGGUAACGGCUCACCAAGGCAACGAUGCGUAGCCGACAUGGGAGGGUGAUCGGCCACACUAGGACUGAGACACGGCCCAGACACCUACGGGAGGCAGCAGUAGGGAAUCUUCCGCAAUGGACGAAAGUCUGACGGAGCAACGCCGCGUGAGUGAUGAAGGCUUUCGGGUCGUAAAACUCUGUUGUUAGGGAAGAACAAGUGCUAGUUGAAUAAGCUGGCACCUUGACGGUACCUAACCAGAAAGCCACGGCUAACUACGUGCCAGCCGCCGCAGUAA
This 515-nucleotide ribosomal RNA is filed under the name uncultured bacterium. Its description in RNAcentral is "partial 16S ribosomal RNA". It matches the Rfam family "Bacterial small subunit ribosomal RNA", at positions 28 to 523 of the family's 1533-position model. The record is from RNAcentral.